AUCGGAUGGAUCCGAAGGAUCGGAUGGAUCCGGAGGAUCGGAUGGAUUCUUCGGAUCCAUCCGAUCCAUUGGAUCCAUCCGAUCCUUCGGAUCCAUCCGA
RNAcentral lists this microRNA precursor (100 nucleotides) under Paramuricea clavata. Lineage: Eukaryota; Metazoa; Cnidaria; Anthozoa; Malacalcyonacea; Plexauridae. The record is from RNAcentral.